This 404-nucleotide ribosomal RNA is filed under the name Escherichia coli. RNAcentral describes it as "partial 23S ribosomal RNA". It matches the Rfam family "Bacterial large subunit ribosomal RNA", at positions 2399 to 2802 of the family's 2925-position model. Lineage: Bacteria; Pseudomonadati; Pseudomonadota; Gammaproteobacteria; Enterobacterales; Enterobacteriaceae. The record is from RNAcentral. RNAcentral also lists the same sequence under 3 other names.
GCGAAAGCAGGUCAUAGUGAUCCGGUGGUUCUGAAUGGAAGGGCCAUCGCUCAACGGAUAAAAGGUACUCCGGGGAUAACAGGCUGAUACCGCCCAAGAGUUCAUAUCGACGGCGGUGUUUGGCACCUCGAUGUCGGCUCAUCACAUCCUGGGGCUGAAGUAGGUCCCAAGGGUAUGGCUGUUCGCCAUUUAAAGUGGUACGCGAGCUGGGUUUAGAACGUCGUGAGACAGUUCGGUCCCUAUCUGCCGUGGGCGCUGGAGAACUGAGGGGGGCUGCUCCUAGUACGAGAGGACCGGAGUGGACGCAUCACUGGUGUUCGGGUUGUCAUGCCAAUGGCACUGCCCGGUAGCUAAAUGCGGAAGAGAUAAGUGCUGAAAGCAUCUAAGCACGAAACUUGCCCCGA